This is a non-coding RNA of Schizosaccharomyces pombe (fission yeast), 428 nucleotides long. The record is from the annotation of a GenBank genome assembly. Lineage: Eukaryota; Fungi; Ascomycota; Schizosaccharomycetes; Schizosaccharomycetales; Schizosaccharomycetaceae.
UUCUCAAUGCUAAGUUGCAUGGCACGGCGAAUACGAUAGACUCGAUCGUAGGAUUCCAUCUUAGGCAAACGAGAUAACGCCUUUUGAGUAUCGUCAUUCUCCUCCAACAUCAAAUCGUCGUAUCGAAGACCAUAUUUACGGUAUCCUGACAAAUGCACAUAGGCAUUGGAGAUGGGUAAAAGCAAUUUCGUCAAAAAUGGUGAUUUUUGAAUAUACUUGGCAAGAGACACAGGUUUCAUACUUAAACAAUCACUUCAGCAAAAAAAAAUUUCGUCACUACAAAAUUUGCACUGAAAUCAAUAAAACUCUUAGUUUUGAAUAUUGGAAGAAGGUAAGAUCUCAUGGCCCUAUAGUAUGCCAAUGAAUCCUUCGGUCACCUGAUGUUACCUGCACAUAGAAUCCUGAGCGGAAUUAGAAAGUAAUGAAAA